AGUGCUGGUGCUGUUCCAAGAUCAACCCAUUGAUUAAAUAAUGUAUCAUUGUAUGGUUCCACCCUAUCAAUUCAUUAUAUAUAUGUGUUAAAUAGCAUAUAUAUACAAAAAGUAAAACAAAAUGCAAAGUUAGAGUAUGAAAACUAAAGAUAAAGAUGAUCGAUCAUACCCAAAUCCGUGUUUAGCAUAAUAUGGAAGAUUUGAUAGUGAAGUUUCAUCAAUAUCAAAAACCCAUAUGUCUUUACCAGUUGUUAUAUUAAGAGUCUUUGCAUAGAAAUAACCUUCACGGUUAACUGCUUUAGAGUCAGCUCUAUAUUG
RNAcentral lists this long non-coding RNA (318 nucleotides) under Medicago truncatula (barrel medic). RNAcentral's name for it is "long non-coding RNA (MTRU_LNC005898)". Lineage: Eukaryota; Viridiplantae; Streptophyta; Magnoliopsida; Fabales; Fabaceae. The record is from RNAcentral.